CAGCAGUAGCCGCGGUAAUACGUAGGGUGCAAGCGUUAAUCGGAAUUACUGGGCGUAAAGCGUGCGCAGGCGGUUAUAUAAGACAGAUGUGAAAUCCCCGGGCUCAACCUGGGAACUGCAUUUGUGACUGUAUAGCUAGAGUACGGCAGAGGGGGAUGGAAUUCCGCGUGUAGCAGUGAAAUGCGUAGAUAUGCGGAGGAACACCGAUGGCGAAGGCAAUCCCCUGGGCCUGUACUGACGCUCAUGCACGAAAGCGUGGGGAGCAAACAGGAUUAGAUACCCCUGUAGUCCCUGUCUCUUAUAC
RNAcentral lists this ribosomal RNA (304 nucleotides) under uncultured bacterium. RNAcentral's name for it is "partial 16S ribosomal RNA". It matches the Rfam family "Bacterial small subunit ribosomal RNA", at positions 506 to 807 of the family's 1533-position model. The record is from RNAcentral.